This is a non-coding RNA of Podarcis muralis (Common wall lizard), 887 nucleotides long. Lineage: Eukaryota; Metazoa; Chordata; Lepidosauria; Squamata; Lacertidae. The record is from RefSeq and is a predicted model, not a curated record.
AGCAAGCCCAAGAGGAUCAGUGGUUUAGACCACAGUACCACCUACAUCCAUAAGUGAGUGGAGAGGAACUACCAGCCAAUUUGCAGAAGCUUCUCUCGGUGAUUACCUGAGACCCAUCCUUUUCCAGCUCUUUACCUGCAUGGAUAGGCAGAGGAGAGGGAAGCGUCACUUACUCAAUUUUGGUCUGUCACAGAGCUGUUGAAGGACCACAAGCUUUGCCAGAAAAGUGUAACAAUAGGGGUGUUGAUUCAUUGGAAGCCUAGAUUGUGAUUGAAAUUCAUUCGUAUUUUAAAGAAGAAAAAGAAGAAGAAGAAGAGGAAGAAGAGGUUACACUAACAUUGUCAGUGCCUAAUAAGUCAUUAUUGUGCUUGGCAGAAGAAAAGCAAAUUACAACAGUUUAAUUGAAAACCUUAAGAGGUAAAAGAGAAGAAGACUGUUAACACAAUUUCAGCAAGACUCAAACAUCUCCUUUCUACCAAAGAACAAGUACUACAAAGGAGAGAAAUAGAUUUAAAAAUAAUCAUUAAUUGAGGUAAACUUGGCACAAAGAUGGCAGAAUUCUAAUUAACUUGCAACCUUUCCUAUCAUAACAUUCGGUUAGAGAGAUGGCACUGUUCUAUUUCCCCUUGUAAGCUAAUAUGUAGCUGAAGUAUAAAUUGACACUCCACAGCAUACAUAAAUUUUCUUUAUUCUGAACCAAAUUUAAUUUCUGCUAUGCUAUUUCUGGCAUCCUGAAAACAUCCAGUUGCCCCACCUGAACUUGACAUUUCCUACUUAGCUUGAGUUAAUUGGCUGUAGAGUGGGAAAAUCGUGUUAAUUGGGUCUGCGUCAUUGAAGAAAACAGUUCUAGAACAGGCCCACCUUACAAAGGGCUAUUGUAAAGUGCC